UUCUCUUUUCACACUCACUAUAAUACAGUGAAUGCUCACAGUAAUCAGCUCUCUUUCAUAUGGGUUCUGCCUUUCACUGAACAUGAUUUCCAGUUGAUCAUAGAACAGGCACUGAACAGAAAUAAAAACUGGAGUGUGCAGGAUCAGUGGUUGGCAUCCAGGGGCAGGUUUGGUUCAUUAUCACGGGGACAACCUCAGAGACUUUGGCAUUCUGGGUGAAGGAAGAAAGAAGAGAAUAUACAUGGAAACCCAGGGAUUGUGGCAAAGAUGGAUGAUGGGAUGUCACUUCACUGAUUAAGUGCCAAAAGGUUGCAAUCUCCUCUUGCUAACAGACUCUCUGCCUUGCUGGCUUUGAUGAUGCAAUUUGCCAUGUUGGAGCUGCCUAUGUGGCAUGAAACUGAAGCAGGCCUCCAGCCAACAGCCAGCAAGAAACUGAGACCCUCAGUCCAACAGUCCACAGGGAUCUCAAUCUUGCCAACCACCAUGUGAGCCUGGAAAUAGAUCCUUGCCCAGUUGAACCUUAAGAUCACUACAUCGCAGCUGACACCUUGACUGCAAGUCUGUAAGAGACCCUGAAGUGCAGGAACUUGCUAAGCCUGCCCAGACUCUUGACCCACGGAAACUGUGAGACAAUACAUGUGGGUUGUUUUAAGUUUGGGGGGUCUCGCUCUGUUACCCAGACUGGAGUGCAGUGGCGCGAU
Molecule: long non-coding RNA, 701 nt
Filed under: Homo sapiens (human)
Lineage: Eukaryota; Metazoa; Chordata; Mammalia; Primates; Hominidae
Description: HSALNT0298361
Source: RNAcentral